AGAGAAUAGAUACCCUGGUAGUCCCAGCCGUAAACGAUGCUCGCUAGGUGUCAGGCAUGGCGCGACCGUGUCUGGUGCCGCAGGGAAGCCGUGAAGCGAGCCACCUGGGAAGUACGGCCGCAAGGCUGAAACUUAAAGGAAUUGGCGGGGAGCACAACAACGGGUGGAGCCUGCGGUUUAAUUGGACUCAACGCCGGACAACUCACCGGGGGCGACAGCAAUAUGUAGGCCAAGCUGAAGACUUUGCCUGAAUCGCUGAGAGGAGGUGCAUGGCCGUCGCCAGUUCGUACUGUGAAGCAUCCUGUUAAGUCAGGCAACGAGCGAGACCCGUGCCCACUGUUACCAGCAUGUCCUCCGGGACGAUGGGUACUCUGUGGGGACCGCCGAUGUUAAACUCGGAGGAAGGUGCGGGCCACGGUAGGUCAGUAUGCCCCGGAAUCUCCCGGGCUACACGCGGGCUACAAUGGAUGGGACAAUGGGUCCU
RNAcentral lists this ribosomal RNA (484 nucleotides) under uncultured bacterium. RNAcentral's name for it is "bacterial SSU rRNA". It matches the Rfam family "Archaeal small subunit ribosomal RNA", at positions 725 to 1206 of the family's 1478-position model. The record is from RNAcentral.